This is a long non-coding RNA of Esox lucius (northern pike), 2366 nucleotides long. RefSeq annotates it as CMRF35-like molecule 1. The transcript has 8 exons. NCBI's taxonomy places the organism in Eukaryota, Metazoa, Chordata, Actinopteri, Esociformes, Esocidae. The record is from RefSeq and is a predicted model, not a curated record.
CCGUGUAAAUCUGAGUUGGACUCUCAGGCAGCUAGUGACUGGAGUUGUGGGAGGACGAGUCCUAAUCAAAUGGUUAGACACUUUAGCAGAGGCCAGCAUCAAGUAUUUCUGCAAGGGGAUCUGCUUAACUGAAUCAGGUAUUCUCAUUCAGACUCAGGACAGUGAGAACUCUACCGAGAAAGGACGAUACAGUAUCUUUGACUUUAGAAAUGGAGUCUUCACUGUGAGCAUGAUGUACCCUGCAGUCCCAGAGACAUUGUGAAGGUUUGGCCACGGAGGUUUCGGUUCAACGGAUUGUUCUCACACCACACAGAGAGGGGGGAGACAGAGAGGCAAGGAGAUUCCCAUCAUCAACCUCAUAAAUGAGGAAGUACAGGAGAAAAAGAAGAAAUAAGCACUGGAUAAAGAUGAAGAAAACAAUAACGCAUUUAUGCUAACUAGUCCGGAAAAGAAAGAGAGCGAUAAGCAGAGGAGAAAAGAGAAAGACAGGAGCUACGUGUCCAAGGAGACAAAGAAGGAGAGACAUUGGGAUUGUGCGAGAAAAGGAGGUUCGAAACCGAACGAAGACCAACAUGGAUCGUUUCUUCAUCACUAUGGUUACUAUUCUAUUUGCUCUGUGUCCAGCUGGGUCAGAGGUUCUGACAGUGACUGGAGUUGUAGGAGGACGGGUGGUGAUAAAAUGUUCCUUCAACUCAUUAGACAACCACAUCAAGUAUUUCUGCAAGAGCCCCUGCUUAACUGAAUCAGAUGUUAUCAUUAAGACAAAGGUCAGCAACAACUAUAUUGCAAAAGGAAGAUACAGUAUAACAGACCAUGGAAAUGGAUACUUCACUGUGACCAUCAAGGACCUGAAGAAGUCAGACUCUGGGACAUACUGGUGUGUAGUGGAGAGAGUUGGAGUUGACUCAUACCAAAUGGUGAAUCUCAGCGUUGUGGAAGCUCCGCCCACUACCUCUGAUGUCAUCACUGCAACGGCACCAAUGACAGGUAACCAGUGUUCUCAUUCCUGUUCCAAAGACGAAACAGCAUGGGAGGCACGAACAACAGCAACUCCACCCGAAGCAGUCAAUUCACCAAAUACUCCGCCCACUACCUCUGAUGUCAUCACUGCAACGGCACCAAUGACAGAAACAGUAUGGGAGGCACGAACAACAGCAACUCCACCCGAAGCAGUCAAUUCACAAAAUAUUCCAGGUACUCCAGUGGUCAUCAUGGUUUGUGUUGGUCUGGCUGUUUUGGUGCUGGGACUGUUACUGAUCUGUAAAUGGAGGAGAGUCAGGAAAGCAUCAAGGCCAUUAGUCAAACCAGACACAUCAACUCAAGACUCCAGAACCAACCAAAGCUUCACAUUAGUAUCCCGAGACUCCACCUACCAAACCCUCACCAAGGGAACCCAAGACUCCACCUACCAAACCCUCACCAAGGGAACCCAAGACUCCACCUACCAAACCCUCACCAAGGAAACCCAAGACUCCACCUACCAAACCCUCUCCACGUCAACCCAAGACUCCACCUAUCAAACCCUCACCAAAGAAAACCCAAGACUCCUCCUACCAAACCCUGACCAUGUCAACCCAAGACUCCACCUACCUAACCAUCACCAAGGGAACCCAAGACUCCACCUACCUAACCAUCACCAAGGGAACCCAAGACUCCACCUACCAAACCAUCACCAAGGCAACCCAAGACUCCUCCUACCAAACCCUGACCAUGUCAACCCAAGACUCCACCUACCAAACCCUCACCAAGGAAACCCAAGACUCCGCCUACUAAACCCUCUCCACAUAAAUCCAAGAUUCCACCUACCAAACCCUUACCACAGCCACACUUAUAAAACACACCCACAACCAAACUGAGAAUGUUCCAGCAUCAAACUCACACGUAGGCGAUUAUAGUUCUAAAAAAGUGUUAUAACUAAAAAGUGUUAUAUAGUUCUAAAAAAGUUUUAUAACUAAAAAAAUGUAUGGUUAAAAGCAGAAUUUAAAUAUAGUGAUUUGGUUGUUAUCAAAUGUAAAGAAUAUUUAAAAGCAAUAUUAUUUUUGUCUUGGUUAAUAUUUUGAUCGAUUGGUCUGGUGUGGCACAGAUUGUCCAGUAGGGGCAGCAGAGAGUGCAGCUUCGUUCAUUUCAUUUCUGAAUUGAAGAGAGCAGCACCUGCUCAGAAAUCCUCUCCUCGCGCUUGUUGUCGGUCGUUCUUUGGAUCUUGUUCCAUGUUCCAUAGUUCUGUUUUUAUGGUUUUUAAUUUUGUUUUAAUGUUCUGUUGCUGUAUGUUUAGUUAUGUCAUUAGAGUCCUGAGAUCUCCAUGUGUCUGUGUCCUGCUUUCAGUGUGUGUUUAUGCAAUGCUACUUGAAAGUAUGUGAACCCUACUG